RNAcentral lists this ribosomal RNA (920 nucleotides) under uncultured bacterium. RNAcentral's name for it is "bacterial SSU rRNA". It matches the Rfam family "Bacterial small subunit ribosomal RNA", at positions 33 to 942 of the family's 1533-position model. The record is from RNAcentral.
ACGCUGGCGGCAUGCUUUACACAUGCAAGUCGGACGGCAGCACAGAGAAGCUUGCUUCUUGGGUGGCGAGUGGCGAACGGGUGAGUAAUAUAUCGGAACGUACCGAGUAAUGGGGGAUAACUAAUCGAAAGAUUAGCUAAUACCGCAUAUUCUCUGAGGAGGAAAGCAGGGGACCUUCGGGCCUUGCGUUAUUCGAGCGGCCGAUAUCUGAUUAGCUAGUUGGUGGGGUAAAGGCCUACCAAGGCGACGAUCAGUAGCGGGUCUGAGAGGAUGAUCCGCCACACUGGGACUGAGACACGGCCCAGACUCCCACGGGAGGCAGCAGUGGGGAAUUUUGGACAAUGGGCGCAAGCCUGAUCCAGCCAUGCCGCGUGUCUGAAGAAGGCCUUCGGGUUGUAAAGGACUUUUGUCAGGGAAGAAAAGGCUGUUGCUAAUACCGACAGCUGAUGACGGUACCUGAAGAAUAAGCACCGGCUAACUACGUGCCAGCAGCCGCGGUAAUACGUAGGGUGCGAGCGUUAAUCGGAAUUACUGGGCGUAAAGCGAGCGCAGACGGUUACUUAAGCAGGAUGUGAAAUCCCCGGGCUCAACCUGGGAACUGCGUUCUGAACUGGGUGACUAGAGUGUGUCAGAGGGAGGUAGAAUUCCACGUGUAGCAGUGAAAUGCGUAGAGAUGUGGAGGAAUACCGAUGGCGAAGGCAGCCUCCGGGGAUAACACUGACGUUCAUGCUCGAAAGCGUGGGUAGCAAACAGGAUUAGAUACCCUGGUAGUCCACGCCCUAAACGAUGUCAAUUAGCUGUUGGGCAACUUGAUUGCUUAGUAGCGUAGCUAACGCGUGAAAUUGACCGCCUGGGGAGUACGGUCGCAAGAUUAAAACUCAAAGGAAUUGACGGGGACCCGCACAAGCGGUGGAUGAUGU